AACGCAUAUUGCACUCUUUGGUAUUCCGAGGAGUAUGCCUGUUUCAGUAUCAUGAAAUCUCUCAUCAAAUCAAAUUUUUUUUGAAAUGAUGGAUCUGGACUUGCAGUUAUUAUGAUUGCUAGUUUAAAAUGAAUUUCAUGAAGCUUAUGUGCUUUGAUUAAAGCUUAAUAGUUUUGGUUUCGGCCAAAUCUUAGCUUUUUAUCAAGUACGGUGAAUUGAUUUUACGAAUCUUUUCAUAAUUUGAUCUGAAAUCAGGUAGGGCUACCCGCUGAACUUAA
Molecule: unclassified non-coding RNA, 278 nt
Filed under: uncultured fungus
Lineage: Eukaryota; Fungi
Description: partial contains 5.8S ribosomal RNA, internal transcribed spacer 2, and large subunit ribosomal RNA
Source: RNAcentral